Molecule: non-coding RNA, 92 nt
Organism: Podarcis lilfordi (Lilford's wall lizard)
Lineage: Eukaryota; Metazoa; Chordata; Lepidosauria; Squamata; Lacertidae
Source: the annotation of a GenBank genome assembly
GGCAAGAAGUCUAGUCCAUCACUUACUGGUUGGUUAGAACGUGGUGUUGAUAAUGCCAAGGAUGCAGGUUUGAACCCUGUAUGGGGCCGCCA